CCCUUAGAUGUUCUGGGCUGCACGCGCGCUACACUGAUGCGCUCAACGAGUUUUAACCUUGCCUGGAAAGGUUGGGUAAUCUUUUUAAAACGCAUCGUGAUGGGGAUAGAUUAUUGCAAUUAUUAAUCUUCAACGAGGAAUUCCUAGUAAGCGCGAGUCAUCAGCUCGUGCUGAUUACGUCCCUGCCCUUUGUACACACCGCCCGUCGCUCCUACCGAUUGAAUGAUUUAGUGAGGACUUCGGACUGGGACCGAUGCGGCUUUCGGGCUGCGUCGGUAUUCUGGAAAGAUGUCCAAACUGUAUCAUUUAGAGGAAGUAAAAGUCGUAACA
RNAcentral lists this ribosomal RNA (330 nucleotides) under uncultured eukaryote. RNAcentral's name for it is "partial 18S ribosomal RNA". It matches the Rfam family "Eukaryotic small subunit ribosomal RNA", at positions 1470 to 1796 of the family's 1831-position model. The record is from RNAcentral.